This 253-nucleotide ribosomal RNA is filed under the name uncultured bacterium. RNAcentral describes it as "partial 16S ribosomal RNA". It matches the Rfam family "Bacterial small subunit ribosomal RNA", at positions 524 to 776 of the family's 1533-position model. The record is from RNAcentral.
UACGGAGGGUGCAAGCGUUGUUCGGAAUUACUGGGCGUAAAGGGCGCGUAGGCGGUUUUAUAAGUCAGAUGUGAAAGCCCACGGCUUAACUGUGGAAGUGCAUUUGAAACUGUGAGACUUGAGUACCAGAGGGGAAAGUGGAAUUCCCGGUGUAGAGGUGAAAUUCGUAGAUAUCGGGAGGAAUACCGGUGGCGAAGGCGACUUUCUGGCUGGAUACUGACGCUGAGGCGCGAAAGCGUGGGGAGCAAACAGG